AUAAACAGAACUAAAAAAAACGUUAACCUACCAGCUAGCAAACUCGGAUUAUCUCAUCCCCGCGUUUUCUUGUGCCCACCAUUUCGAAAUUUUCGGUAUGCAUAGAUGUAUGCAAGAAGAACUCACAUCGUGAAAGAGUCGCUUUUGGGAACUUUUAAUUUAUAGAUUUUAAUGUGUAAUUUAAUACUACAGAUGUUUUUAAAUUAAUUUAAAAUGUACUUGCUAUAUUGAAAACAAGUAAAUUUUAUUCAAUUAAAGGUAAUUUGAAAAAACUGUUCAAUGAACUUUCGACAUACUGUUCUCUCUGCGCAUGUCUAUAUACGUUUUCCCGCUUUUUUGUGUCGUGGAGGUGGGGAUCUUUUUCACUAUCAAGGGUUUGCAACAGUACUGCGCGUUACGUAAAUUCGGUAUAACCCUGUCCAAGGAUCCUCAUUUUUGACUUAACGUGGUCGGAGCUGCUACCAGUGAAGGUUGUGAAAUGGUGGGCACACGACGCGGGGACGUCGAGAUAUCCGAUUUUUUGCUAGCUGCACUUCAGGAUCAUCUGGAGCACCAAGAAGAGGCC
This is a long non-coding RNA of Scleropages formosus (Asian bonytongue), 565 nucleotides long. RefSeq lists it as uncharacterized. Lineage: Eukaryota; Metazoa; Chordata; Actinopteri; Osteoglossiformes; Osteoglossidae. The record is from RefSeq and is a predicted model, not a curated record. The transcript has 3 exons.